This 76-nucleotide transfer RNA is filed under the name Gammaproteobacteria bacterium. RNAcentral describes it as "tRNA-Thr". It matches the Rfam family "tRNA". From Rfam's summary of the family: Transfer RNA (tRNA) molecules are approximately 80 nucleotides in length. Their secondary structure includes four short double-helical elements and three loops (D, anti-codon, and T loops). The record is from RNAcentral. Lineage: Bacteria; Pseudomonadati; Pseudomonadota; Gammaproteobacteria. RNAcentral also lists the same sequence under 1 other name.
GCCGGCUUAGCUCAGCUGGUAGAGCAACUGAUUUGUAAUCAGUAGGUCGGGGGUUCAAAUCCCUCAGCCGGCACCA